Molecule: signal recognition particle RNA, 266 nt
Filed under: Ureibacillus manganicus DSM 26584
Lineage: Bacteria; Bacillati; Bacillota; Bacilli; Caryophanales; Caryophanaceae
Description: Lysinibacillus manganicus DSM 26584 Bacterial large signal recognition particle RNA
Rfam family: Bacterial large signal recognition particle RNA
About the family: The signal recognition particle (SRP) is a universally conserved ribonucleoprotein involved in the co-translational targeting of proteins to membranes. Archaeal SRP consists of a 7S RNA and homologues of the eukaryotic SRP19 and SRP54 proteins. In most bacteria, the SRP consists of a 4.5S RNA and the Ffh protein (a homologue of the eukaryotic SRP54 protein).
Source: Rfam by way of RNAcentral
CCGGGCUAGUUGGGGAGGUAGCGGUGCCCUGUAACUUGCAAUCCGCUCUAGCGAGAAUGAAGUCCUUUCCUAGGCUGUCCGUAUUGUAGGGUUUGCCUUUUGCACGUAGCGUUGACGGCUGGGUCCCGCGCAAUGAGUACCCAUGAACCAUGUCAGAUCCGGAAGGAAGCAGCAUUAAGUGGGUUCACUCAUGUGCCGUGGGGUAGCCUCGCUUGAGUUGGCGACAAAAGUAACGCCUAUGUGCUGCUGCCAAAGAAGGUGCUCGG